Setaria italica (foxtail millet) is the source of this 1382-nucleotide long non-coding RNA. RefSeq lists it as uncharacterized. The record is from RefSeq and is a predicted model, not a curated record. NCBI's taxonomy places the organism in Eukaryota, Viridiplantae, Streptophyta, Magnoliopsida, Poales, Poaceae. The transcript has 2 exons.
AAGUGGGGUCAUGGGUUGGGUAAAAGUGACAAUCCAUCCAAAAAGACCCUCCUUUUGGAGCUGCAGGCACCCAUCUAGCCAAACACCUCAUUUUAUUUUUGGAGUUCUAGAGUGGAGCAAAUCCACCAGAGUUGGAGCCAUACCAAAUAGAGCCUUAUAUUUCCUUUUGAGGACUAAUAUGUGAACACAAUCUUUUUUCUAGGACCGAUCUACAAAAUUGACUCAUCUUCUUCCCCAACCUCUCUUCUCCCACCCUCUCCUCCCUGGGUCCCUCCUGCUGCUCCUCCACUGCCCUCCGCUCAAAUCGGUAGCGGCCCCUGCUCCUCCGCCCGAAUCCAUGAGCCCCACCGCAGAGAAUCGACGCCGGUCGCGCUCCUCCGCCCUCCUCGUUGUGCGGCCACGCAAGCUCACCUAUGCGCGUCGGGGGUGGAGGUCGCUCGCGCGGCGGCACUCGCCCGCUCGUCCGCCGGAGCUCCCCGCGCGUGCCCGAGCCUCAGGAAGGAAGGGGAGAGGCGGCGAGGAGGCCAGAUCGACAAGCGGCGGCCUCCUCGAGAUCCUCCGGUAGCCAAAUCGAUGCGCGGGGCGGCACAGCGAGCGGCGCUGCGUGGGGCCACAGCUCGCAGCUCGAUUCGCGAGGCAGCACGACGGACGCAGAGGUGAGGGCAGGCGGCGGCGAGAUUAGUGCGGGGCCUAGGGAAGGGUGGCGCACGGCCAGGCGAUGCGGAGGCUACUCCGGUGCGACGGCGAGGCGGAGCAAGGGGGAAGGGGCCGCACGGCGGGAUAGGGCGGCGUACGGCCAAGCAGGGCGCAGGGCGCAGGGCGCACGGUGACGGGAGGAGCUCUGAAACAUCCGCACGGUGGCAAUGGGCUCUCGCACGUGGACAACAAAAUAUAGCAAUCCACUCUUUGGAUCGGUAUAUUUGGAUCGAGGAAAGAAAAAAGAUCAUGACCUAUUAUACUCAUUCAUAUAGGACUCGAAGAUUUGGGCUACAGCUGCGGGGAGGAUCAGAACCCGGUCAGCAUGAUCGCUCUCACCCAGUGUCUGGCUCCAAAUGUAAGGCAGACAUGCGUUCGGCAUCAGCAAUCCAGCAUCCUUGCCACUCAACAUAUGAACUGAACUGAGAUCCUCACCAAUGAUUGAUCGCUCAUCGAUGCAUCUAUUCUGUGCUACGGCCAUCAGCAAGCAACAAUGUGCGUACGAUCCAUUCUGCUUGGGCAUGGCGUAACUGUCUCGUCGCUGAUGUGCUUCUGAAUGAUUUGCUUGGACAUGACAUGACUGUCUCGACGCUUGAGGGUGGACUGUGUCAUGUUCAGAAAAGAACAGAGGAGUUCGCGUUCAUUAACGAAUUUAACACCUCACAGGCUCACCCCUGAAUAAGCUC